RNAcentral lists this unclassified non-coding RNA (358 nucleotides) under Drosophila yakuba. RNAcentral's name for it is "GE28483". The record is from RNAcentral. Lineage: Eukaryota; Metazoa; Arthropoda; Insecta; Diptera; Drosophilidae.
CAGUAUUAAGUAUUCACAAAAUAUGGCAGAGAUUAAAAUAGGAGUUAGCUACAUCGAACACAGUUGUGCACUGACCAGGUCCUGCAGUUCGAGACAGCCUCCUUAUGGCUUGUGUGUGUGAGCCGGACCUUACUUCCUCUAUCGAUAAGGCGCAAGAAGUCCAGAAGGCAUGUUCCUAGACGGCUCUUUGAUAUUACCAAAAUGGAGAAGAGACGGUCGGGAUCAGACUGAAUGUGAAAGUGUUGUACAGUGCGUGAAAAAAGUUUUCGAAGAAAACUUUAAUAGCCGGCAAAGACGGGGGCACGUUGAUAAUGUGAUAAAUAUUUCGUGAUGGGAAAUAAAGAAAAGCGGGACCAGA